AGAGUUUGAUCCUGGCUCAGGAUAAACGCUGGCGGCGUGCCUAACACAUGCAAGUCGCACGUCCUGCUUUCGGGCAGGGAGUGGCGGACGGGUGAGUAACACAUGGGAACCUACCCACCAGUGAGGGAUACCGGCGCGAAAGCGCCGACAAGCCCGCAUGGACUCGAGCGAUCGAGUAAAGCCUUUCGGGGCGCUGGUGG
RNAcentral lists this ribosomal RNA (200 nucleotides) under uncultured bacterium. Its description in RNAcentral is "partial 16S ribosomal RNA". It matches the Rfam family "Bacterial small subunit ribosomal RNA", at positions 8 to 224 of the family's 1533-position model. The record is from RNAcentral.